UACGUAGGGGGCUAGCGUUGUCCGGAAUCAUUGGGCGUAAAGAGCGCGCAGGCGGUCGUUCAAGUCGCGUGUGAAAGCCCCCGGCUCAACUGGGGAGGGUCACGCGAUACUGAUCGACUCGAAGGCAGGAGAGGGUAGUGGAAUUCCCGGUGUAGUGGUGAAAUGCGUAGAUAUCGGGAGGAACACCAGUGGCGAAGGCGACUACCUGGCCUGUUCUUGACGCCGAGGCGCGAAAGCUAGGGGAGCAAACGGG
Molecule: ribosomal RNA, 253 nt
Filed under: uncultured bacterium
Lineage: Bacteria
Description: partial 16S ribosomal RNA
Rfam family: Bacterial small subunit ribosomal RNA
Source: RNAcentral